GAAAAUCAAAGAGCUAUUUCUGGGGAACAACGGUCAAGUUAAUCAUAAUAUUUUAUAAACAAGAAACUCUCUCUCCAUCUCUGGGUUCAAUUCCUCUUAAGUUUUAACCACGUGGUGGAAAGAUCCCGUCAGGGGGCUAGUUCAACUGUCGAUUUUUCAAUCUCUGAUCGCCUGUAGAGCUCCGGCUCUGAAGUGUUCUCCCGUAGCUAUUGCUCGAGGCGCAUUUUUAAACGAAGGAAAAGCAAAUCCUGUGUCUCCGGAUUAAUGGAUUCUGGAGCAUCUGCCUGAUCCAAUUACAUAGGAUAUUGUUUAAAUUUUCUCCUUUUGCUUGUGCCAAGU
This 339-nucleotide unclassified non-coding RNA is filed under the name Hevea brasiliensis (rubber tree). Lineage: Eukaryota; Viridiplantae; Streptophyta; Magnoliopsida; Malpighiales; Euphorbiaceae. The record is from RNAcentral.